Molecule: long non-coding RNA, 865 nt
Filed under: Oryza sativa Indica Group (long-grained rice)
Lineage: Eukaryota; Viridiplantae; Streptophyta; Magnoliopsida; Poales; Poaceae
Description: lncRNA OsMH63_08G002070
Source: RNAcentral
AUGGCGCCCAAGAGGAGGAAAGAGGCAUCCACCUCCACCACUAUCUCUCCCCCUCUACCCCCCGGCCAUUCAUCAAUCUUCUACCUGGAGUUAAGCAAUCUCGCCACAAGCUAUGGACAGCUUAUGUCCGCGAUUUCAUCUGAGGCUGAGGUUAUCAUAACUCUGGAAUCGCCCUCCAACAGCAAAGGGGUAAAGCAGUUUUGCAAGAUAUCCGACAAGCUGUACACUCCGAGCGGUGGAACAUUCCUAGUGCAGAUCACACCAGAUAACUCAAGUCCUUUGGAAGAUCGGCUCACUCUGCUAUUCAGAUGGAAAGACCUAUAUUUCGAAGCAUUUCAUAGCAAAGGGAAAUGGUACAGGAUGGGGGAUGCUGAGGAGACUCUCCCUCCAAGAUCCCAGCUGAAUUAUCCCAUGAAGGAGCAUCAGGGAAUUGUGAAGAUCCCGUUUGAAACCACAUAUGCGAGUGUUCUUGGGAAGAAGUCGUUUCAAUGUGCCCCGAUGGGUCCGGGUAGUUUCCACCGCUGCUACAAGACUCUGAUGACAUCCGGAGAGGUUCAUAAAGAUUCAUUGAAGCAACUUCUGGGACAUGGUUUCCCACUCGCUUUACCUGUGAUGGGUAUCUCUGAGCCCCUAAGGUUUCCCCUUUACCAGGAGUGGCUUCAGAAUGUGUUGAUCUUAGCUGGUGCCUCUGAUGGAGAUCAGCUUGAUCGCGAUCCAUUGGACAACAUGUUCGAUAAGGUAGUUCCAGCCGAGCACUCCGACAAGUUCAACGCGUGGGGGACAAUUUCUGAUUGCAUGUAUGAGAAAAGGGUGACACUCCGGUGCAAUAUACUUGAAGUAUUCUACUCCGAGUAGAAUUAAUCUG